GGUGCUGUAGCUCAAUAGCAGAGCCUCUGCCUAGCACGCAUGAGUCCCUGGAUUCAAUCUCUAGCACCACAA
RNAcentral lists this transfer RNA (72 nucleotides) under Heterocephalus glaber (naked mole-rat). It matches the Rfam family "tRNA". From Rfam's summary of the family: Transfer RNA (tRNA) molecules are approximately 80 nucleotides in length. Lineage: Eukaryota; Metazoa; Chordata; Mammalia; Rodentia; Bathyergidae. The record is from Rfam by way of RNAcentral.